CUAAGCCAACAUCAAAUCUAAAUUUACACAACUAACACAACCAAAGUUCAUCAAAUUCCUGCAAAGUGCAUCAUCAUCAUCAAGAAAACCAUCAUAUCAUCUCCCCCUUUUUGUCAGAAAGCGCCAAAAUGAUAAAAGGAGGAACCCCGCAACAUCUAAUCUGAAACAUCCCCUGGAGGUAAAUCUGCUCGGCAACACCCUAACUUGUCAAAAAUCAUAUUUAAUAACCGCUUCAUCUUGCUCACAUCCUUCCGAAUCGCAGCUUGCUCCGCAGACAAUUUCUGAAGCUCUUCAGAUAACUGUUGUUGCUUACGAUACAUAGAGGAAACUGAGAUAUCUUCCUCGGAAAUGUCCAUAGAAGGACGGGAAGACGUAGCAGUAGCAGGAGGUGGAGCAGCAGGAGGGGAAGAAGCACGUUGAGACGGGGUACGAAGCUGCACCGAGGACUUCACAAAUGUCCUCUCAUUGAUCCGACCCAAACUGUGCUCAUAAGAUGUACACCUGACAUCCACGUCAUGAAGUCGCAGAAUCCUCAUGAGUAUCAAUGGAAAUGGCAGCCUUUCAUUUUGUCCAGAAGUCUUGAUGUCCUUUGCCAUUCUCCGCCAGAUCAGAAACGGAAUAUUCAUGUUAAUAUUUUUGGCACUUACAAUAUCUGGUCUACCCAAAAGAUACAUGUACAGAAUGCGAUCCCAUCUCAAAAUCUUCGUGUUUGCAAGAGGCAAAAUGUUGUAGCAAACCACGAAGUUUAAAAACCGGUACUCCAUUUUGAAAUCUUUGGACAUAACCAUAAUGCCGUUUGAUUCAGUACUCUGCAUGCAAAUAGUGUUCACGACACGGUUCCAAUCACGAAGUGAAUCAAACCCGACCUGUAGAUAUUCCACUCCCUCAGUUCUUGCUUCCAUUCCUAACACAGACGCUAUCGUAUCGGGAGUGAUUGAUAAGUCAACACCACGUACGGAAGUGGUGAAUACGUACGGGCCUUUGUCGGUGUCACUCAAGUGACUUGCUCUCAUAUAGAAUUCUCUAAUCAACUCCAAACAGAACCCAGUUUGUUCCGGGAAAUCACAAAUCUGAUGAAGAUUUCCCUUUUCAAAUAAAUCCUGAAAUCCCGGCACACAGUCAAUGAUACUGGCGACGCCAACAUCCCGCUCACCAAUACAAUGUUUCGACGAGUACAUUGACCCUCGAGCAGAUGGAACAUUCUGUAUACUGAGACGCGGAGGCUUAGAACCCGGUUCUCUAAUCUCAACACCUCCAGAUUUCCGACGACCAGUAUAUCCAGAUGCUUUUCCUUUUCCUUUAUCCAUUGCUUUGCCUUUCCCUUUAUCAAUGGCUUGUCCUUUCCCCUUUCCUUUUCUUGUAUCCUUUUCCUAAGCCAACACCUCUGGAACAAAAGCCUCCCAAUCUGGCUCGUCCUCCCCAGAUUUGUCGCCUGGAGCAUAUUCGCUCUCUUCAUCUUCCGGUUGAUACUCAACCGGCCGUUUAGCUUUGGAUCGUUGUCAUUUGCUUCCGUGACCACCCCCAGCCAUAAGUACCACAAGCACAAGAAUCCACGAGUACAUUUUCAAAGAAACCUCUGUUAAACAUAAUUAAUUUUAACUAUGAAACAACAGAACACACAUUUUUUUUUUUAAUACCAAAAAUUUUCAGCAAAUUGAUAUAUAAAUGCUAGAUAAUCCUAGGGGCCACAAAAUCAAGAGAAACAUGAACAAGUCAUGCUACAAAACCAGCCAAAAAUAAAUGAUCCACAAAAAAAAAUGAAAAAGAAGGUUUUGAUCAAGAAAACCCAAAAAAUGAGACCAAAAAGAUGAAGAAAUACAAGAGAAAAUGAAAACAACAAUUCUAAGAACAAGAUCGAAGCAUAAAAAUGCAUAUUCAGCAAGAUCCUUAGAACAAUCGCCAAACAAUCUGAAACGAAACACAUUUUCGGAAUAUAUGAUAUUCAAGCAACAAAAUCCGAAAAUCAUACCUAAAAUCAGUGUAAAAUGAUGAAAGAGAGAACCAAAGACACCCUGGGAUUAGUAGAAGCUCAGGAGAAGAAGAUGAACGAAAUUGGUAAAGUAACAUGUGAAAGACCGCAAACCCUUAUAUCCGGUUCGGGCGGAGGGACCGGUCCCAGAGCCUGAAUUUUGAAAAAAUUUUAAUUUAAACUCAAAUUUUUUAGAAAAAAUAUAAGAUAUUCCACAAUGUUUAAUCAACAAAAAAUAACCAAUUUCCAUCCCCAAAAAUUUCAAAUAAACUUUCAUAAAUAAAAUUUGAGAAACCAAUUUCAAGAAUAGUCAAUUUGGCAAAAUUGUUGACCCGAUAAUCAAUGAAAAUUCUAGAUACAUAUAAAAUAAAAUUC
RNAcentral lists this long non-coding RNA (2344 nucleotides) under Ananas comosus (pineapple). RNAcentral's name for it is "long non-coding RNA (ACOM_LNC043334)". Lineage: Eukaryota; Viridiplantae; Streptophyta; Magnoliopsida; Poales; Bromeliaceae. The record is from RNAcentral.